AUUGAACGCUGGCGGCAGGCUUAACACACGAAAGUCGAGCGGGGGAAGGUAGCUUGCUACCGGACCUAGCGGCGGACGGGUGAGUAAUGCUUAGGAAUCUGCCUAUUCGUGGGGGACAACAUCUCGAUAGGGAUGCUAAUACCGCAUACGUCCUACGGGAGAAAGCAGGGGAUCUUCGGACCUUGCGUUAAUAGAUGAUACAAAGUAGGAUUAGCUAGUUGGUGGGGUAAAGGCCCACCAAGGUCACGAUCUGAAGCGGGUCUUCGAUGAUGAUCCGCCACACUUGGACUGAGACACGGCCCAGACUCCUACGGGAGGCAGCAGUGGGGAAUAUUGGUCAAUGGGGGGAACCCUGAUCCAGCCAUGCCGCGUGUGUGAAGAAGGCCUUAUGGUUGUAAAGCACUUUAAGCGAGGAGGAGGCUACUUUAGUUAAUACCUAGAGAUAGUGGACGUUACUCGCAGAAUAAGCACCGGCUAACUCUGUGCCAGCCGCCGCAGUAA
RNAcentral lists this ribosomal RNA (501 nucleotides) under uncultured bacterium. RNAcentral's name for it is "partial 16S ribosomal RNA". It matches the Rfam family "Bacterial small subunit ribosomal RNA", at positions 30 to 523 of the family's 1533-position model. The record is from RNAcentral.